This 234-nucleotide ribosomal RNA is filed under the name Ehrlichia chaffeensis. RNAcentral's name for it is "partial 16S ribosomal RNA". It matches the Rfam family "Bacterial small subunit ribosomal RNA", at positions 215 to 448 of the family's 1533-position model. The record is from RNAcentral. Lineage: Bacteria; Pseudomonadati; Pseudomonadota; Alphaproteobacteria; Rickettsiales; Anaplasmataceae.
UCGCUAUUAGAUGAGCCUACGUUAGAUUAGCUAGUUGGUAAGGUAAUGGCUUACCAAGGCUAUGAUCUAUAGCUGGUCUGAGAGGACGAUCAGCCACACUGGAACUGAGAUACGGUCCAGACUCCUACGGGAGGCAGCAGUGGGGAAUAUUGGACAAUGGGCGAAAGCCUGAUCCAGCUAUGCCGCGUGAGUGAAGAAGGCCUUCGGGUUGUAAAACUCUUUCAAUAGGGAAGA